Molecule: transfer RNA, 574 nt
Filed under: uncultured Flavobacteriaceae bacterium
Lineage: Bacteria; Pseudomonadati; Bacteroidota; Flavobacteriia; Flavobacteriales; Flavobacteriaceae
Description: 16S-23S ribosomal RNA intergenic spacer
Rfam family: tRNA (bases 103-176)
Source: RNAcentral
AGAGAAAGAGAUGUCCGGAAGGCCUUGUCCCGCACGAGGUGGUUUUUAUCCUCUGCGCUGUCGUUUAUGAUAUGUUACAAAUACUGGCAAUAAGGCCAAGACAGUCUCAUAGCUCAGCUGGUUAGAGCGCUACACUGAUAAUGUAGAGGUCGGCAGUUCGAGUCUGCCUGAGACUACGAAAAGUACAAAGUGCGGAAGUGCGGAGUGCGAAGUUCAUUGAGUAUUGAAAGGAAAUUUUAGAGGUUGAGUGAUUAUCACGUAAUGGUGAGCACGUUAUCAAGACUGUUAACUGUUGACUGAUAACUGCCGACUGGAACGGGGGAUUAGCUCAGCUGGCUAGAGCGCCUGCCUUGCACGCAGGAGGUCAUCGGUUCGACUCCGAUAUUCUCCACCACGGCAAAAGUCGUCCGCUGAUAUGUUGUAUCGGCGGCGGUGUGCCAGAAAGUUCAUUGACAUAUUGGGACGGAGCAGUGACGAUUUAUAUCGUCGCAUGCGAAGUCAAAGAAGAAACACGAAGUAGAAUAGAAUAUAAUAAGGAUUACGAGAGGGCAUUUGUACCUUAGGGUACAGGUGC